CCUACGGGUGGCAGCAGUCGAGAAUCAUUCACAAUGGGGGAAACCCUGAUGGUGCGACGCCGCGUGGGGGAAUGAAGGUCUUCGGAUUGUAAACCCCUGUCAUGUGGGAGCAAAUUAAAAAGAUAGUACCACAAGAGGAAGAGACGGCUAACUCUGUGCCAGCAGCCGCGGUAAUACAGAGGUCUCAAGCGGUGUUCGGAAUCACUGGGCGUAAAGCGUGCGUAGGCUGUUUCGUAAGUCGUGUGUGAAAGGCGCGGGCUCAACCCGCGGACGGCACAUGAUACUGCGAGACUAGAGUAAGGGAGGGGGAACCGGAAUUCGCGGUGUAGCAGUGAAAUGCGUAGAUAUCGAGAGGAACACUCGUGGCGAAGGCGGGUUCCUGGACAUUAACUGACGCUGAGGCACGAAGGCCAGGGGAGCGAAAGGGAUUAGAUACCCUAGUAGUC
Molecule: ribosomal RNA, 446 nt
Filed under: uncultured bacterium
Lineage: Bacteria
Description: partial 16S ribosomal RNA
Rfam family: Bacterial small subunit ribosomal RNA
Source: RNAcentral